This 83-nucleotide transfer RNA is filed under the name Kouleothrix aurantiaca. It matches the Rfam family "tRNA". Rfam says of the family: Transfer RNA (tRNA) molecules are approximately 80 nucleotides in length. Their secondary structure includes four short double-helical elements and three loops (D, anti-codon, and T loops). The record is from Rfam by way of RNAcentral. Lineage: Bacteria; Bacillati; Chloroflexota; Chloroflexia; Chloroflexales; Roseiflexaceae.
GGAGAGAUGGCCGAGCGGUUUAAGGCAGUUGUCUUGAAAACAACCAGGCGCAAGCCUCGUGGGUUCGAAUCCCACUCUCUCCU